Molecule: ribosomal RNA, 435 nt
Filed under: uncultured bacterium
Lineage: Bacteria
Description: partial 16S ribosomal RNA
Rfam family: Bacterial small subunit ribosomal RNA
Source: RNAcentral
AGCGAACGCUGGCGGCAGGCUUAACACAUGCAAGUCGAACGGGCUUCUUCGGACGUCAGUGGCAGACGGGUGCGUAACACGUGGGAACGUGCCCUUCGGUUCGGACUAACCCAGGGAAACUUGAGCUCAUACCGGAUACGCCCUUUUGGGGAAAGGUUUACUGCCGCAGGAUCGGUCCGCGUCUGAUUAGCUUGUUGGUGGGGUAACGGCCUACCAAGGCGACGAUCAGUAGCUGGUCUGAGAGGAUGAUCAGCCACACUGAGACUGAGACACGGCCCAGACUCCUACGGGAGGCAGCAGUGGGGAAUAUUGGACAAUGGGCGCAAGCCUGAUCCAGCCAUGCCGCGUGAGUGAUGAAGGCCUUAGGGUUGUAAAGCUCUUUUGUCCGGGACGAUAAUGACGGUACCGGAAGAAUAAGCCCCGGCUAACUUCGUG